Molecule: ribosomal RNA, 255 nt
Filed under: uncultured bacterium
Lineage: Bacteria
Description: partial 16S ribosomal RNA
Rfam family: Bacterial small subunit ribosomal RNA
Source: RNAcentral
UACAGAGGGUGCGAGCGUUGUCCGGAAUCACUGGGCGUAAAGGGCGCGUAGGUGGCGCAACAAGUCAGUGGUGAAAGCUCGACGCUCAACGUCGAGUCGGCCACUGAGACUGUUGGGCUUGAGCACUGUAGAGGCUAAUGGAAUUCCGGGUGUAGCGGUGGAAUGCGUAGAGAUCCGGAAGAACACCAGUGGCGAAGGCGGCCCGCUGGGGCAGUAGCUGACGCUGAGGCGCGACAGCGUGGGGGAGCGAACAGG